UAGGGAAUCUUCCACAAUGGACGCAAGUCUGAUGGAGCAACGCCGCGUGAGUGAAGAAGGUUUUCGGACCGUAAAGCUCUGUUGUUGGUGAAGAAGGAUAGAGGUAGUAACUGGCCUUUAUUUGACGGUAAUCAACCAGAAAGUCACGGCUAACUACGUGCCAGCAGCCGCGGUAAUCGUAGGUGGCAAGCGUUGUCCGGAUUUAUUGGGCGUAAAGCGAGCGCAGGCGGAAGAAUAAGUCUGAUGUGAAAGCCCUCGGCUUAACCGAGGAAUUGCAUCGGAAACUGUUUUCUUGAGUGCAGAAGAGGAGAGUAGAACUCCAUGUGUAGCGGUGGAAUGCGUAGAUAUAUGGAAGAAUACCAGUGGCGAAGGCGGCUCUCUGGUCUGCAACUGACGCUGAGGCUCGAAAGCAUGGGUAGCGAACAGGAUUAGAUACCCUGGUAGU
RNAcentral lists this ribosomal RNA (445 nucleotides) under uncultured bacterium. Its description in RNAcentral is "partial 16S ribosomal RNA". It matches the Rfam family "Bacterial small subunit ribosomal RNA", at positions 355 to 794 of the family's 1533-position model. The record is from RNAcentral.